RNAcentral lists this small RNA (79 nucleotides) under Flavobacterium xinjiangense. RNAcentral's name for it is "Flavo-1 RNA". Lineage: Bacteria; Pseudomonadati; Bacteroidota; Flavobacteriia; Flavobacteriales; Flavobacteriaceae. The record is from RNAcentral.
AGUGAAUUUUAUUUGCAGUGAAAAUCCUUUUUUGAGGUUUUUACCGAUAAAAAGAUUGAAGCGAAAAGCAGGAAACAGC